Molecule: long non-coding RNA, 811 nt
Filed under: Zea mays
Lineage: Eukaryota; Viridiplantae; Streptophyta; Magnoliopsida; Poales; Poaceae
Description: long non-coding RNA (ZMAY_LNC002946)
Source: RNAcentral
GUCCCUUAUCUCCCUUCUCUUUCCAGCGACCCCGCCACCCCUAGCCUCUCGUCUCCGCCGCCCUCUCCUCUUCACUCGCGCCACCAUGCGUCAUCGAUGCCACUGUCGACCCUUCUCCAUCUACGGAAUCGUAACAUUUGCACGAACUAUAUUAACUUAUCAUCAACCUUAGAACCGAACUUCUCUCUUGCUACAGGUUUAUUUUUAAUUUCAAACACAUGUAGGAUAGAAAAUAGGUAUAUGUAAUUAAUUAUUUACCUGUCGUACCUCCAAACAUGAAUCCUAGCAGAUGAGUCCCCUCUCGGAGAUCCAAUCUCUCGUCGCAGGGAGAGGGGACAGCGGCCCGGCAGCAGCCGUCCAAGCGAGGCCCAGCAGCAGGGCCAGUAGUAGUGAGUGGGGCGAUAUCGGCCCGCGGCUGCUGGGAGUUAGUGCAGUGAUGGCGCCAGCUCGAUAUAUCAGUCAGUGGCCGGCGAAUUGGCUCCAGUUUAAUGAGCCGAGAGCAAGAGCAGGAGCAGGACUGCAGGUGCAGGUGCACAGUGUGGUGGCUGGCUGCAUCGAGAGGAGAGAGGGGAGGGAGGAAUCGAGGUGGUUGACCCCGAGAUUAAUAGGCCUUCAAUUCACGAUCCGAUUCCCUCCACCUCACGACGAACAUGCAUAUGCAGCUGCAGUUGCAUUGCAUUCAACUGAUCGCUGAGCGCCACCCGGCCCAUUGACCAGGACCUCCUCCCAUCCGCCCAGCUAGCGCCAUUUCUUUGCUAGCCACGCCAUUCCACUCUCCGUCUCCUUUCCGCUGCUGCUUCGCACUGCCGGG